Long non-coding RNA from Magnolia sinica, 1105 nucleotides. RefSeq lists it as uncharacterized. The record is from RefSeq and is a predicted model, not a curated record. The transcript has 3 exons. Lineage: Eukaryota; Viridiplantae; Streptophyta; Magnoliopsida; Magnoliales; Magnoliaceae.
GAUGGAAGUUGGAUCAAGUUGGUUGGGGGAAGCAUUUUUGGUUUUGCUGCUGCAGCUACCACUGUGAUUGCCAUCAGCUGCGAUUCCUUGUGCCUCGCGGAGUCUCUCAUCAUCACUUUCCCUGCUUCUCGUGGAGAGCUUGAUCGGCCUUGUGAAUAGGAUCGAGAGGGCCUAUAUGGUCCUUGGCGACUACGGUGGUGACAACUCCUUGCUAACUCUUUGGGAAGCCCUUCUGUUCAUCAUUGUCGUCAGUGGAUAGAAUUCUGCAGAAUCAUCGAUUUUGGAGAGCAUCGUUAGACGGGAUUUUCUUCUUAGGGGAUCUGGUUGGAGUUCUGAAUUUUUUAUUCUUUUACUUUUAUUAUUUUAAUUUUUUUUUUGAGUUUUUUCUAUGGUGGAUCUUGUGGUAUUCUUGAAGGGAUUGUCACAUGUCGGCCACUAGUUCUGCAGCUGCACAAGACAGACAAAGGACAGACGGAGUAUGUUGAGUUUCUUCACUCUCCAAAGAGGAGAUUUUCAGGUUUAGGUAAAUCUUGUUUUUCUAUUGCUUCAUAGAUUCGAUGUUUGAUUUAUGGGUCUUUUUUGCCCUGAAAUCUCCCCUACAUUGUCGCUGCUUCUUGAUUUUAUUUUCAUCUUGAAUUCUCUCAAUUCUAACUCGACGAGUACACGCAUACAGCAACAAACAUCUUCAAGUAGGCAGAGGAACUGCAAAGGCGAAAUAAUUACUCUCUACUACCAUUGAUCUGAAAUGUUUUUUUAAUGAAAUAAGGGCUAUGGACUGCGAAGACGAUCAGCCCAACAAUGCCAUCCAUGUUCCACAAGCUAAUGCAUGAAGUGGCUUGAUGAGAGGUUUACCAGUUCAGUCUUCUUCAUUUCAUUCGACAGUGUGGCCAAUCUAGGAGUGGACCACAUGAAGGAUUUUUUACUUAUUUUUAUGUAUUCAAGACCAUUUUCAACCUAUUGUUGUAAAUAUUAUAUAUUUUAUUGUAAAGUAAUACAAUUUUGUUUAAUAUUCAUUUUUAAUUGUAUCCUAACAUUUUUUAGCUUUCAAAUAUUAAAAAAAUACAGGUUCCAACUGAAAAAAAAUAAAAAAAUUUCUGGCUUUUGC